Molecule: ribosomal RNA, 497 nt
Filed under: uncultured bacterium
Lineage: Bacteria
Description: partial 16S ribosomal RNA
Rfam family: Bacterial small subunit ribosomal RNA
Source: RNAcentral
GAUGAACGCUGGCGGCGUGCCUAAUACAUGCAAGUCGAGCGAACGGACGAGAAGCUUGCUUCUCUGAUGUUAGCGGCGGACGGGUGAGUAACACGUGGAUAACCUACCUAUAAGACUGGGAUAACUUCGGGAAACCGGAGCUAAUACCGGAUAAUAUUUUGAACCGCAUGGUUCAAAAGUGAAAGACGGUCUUGCUGUCACUUAUAGAUGGAUCCGCGCUGCAUUAGCUAGUUGGUAAGGUAACGGCUUACCAAGGCAACGAUGCAUAGCCGACCUGAGAGGGUGAUCGGCCACACUGGAACUGAGACACGGUCCAGACUCCUACGGGAGGCAGCAGUAGGGAAUCUUCCGCAAUGGGCGAAAGCCUGACGGAGCAACGCCGCGUGAGUGAUGAAGGUCUUCGGAUCGUAAAACUCUGUUAUUAGGGAAGAAAAUAUGUGUAAGUAACUGUGCACCUCUUGACGGUACCUAAUCAGAAAGCCCCGGCUAACUACGUG